UAGUGAUUUUCUGGUUGAUCCCGCCGGAGGCCACUGCUAUCGGAGUUCGAUUAAGCCAUGCGAGUCGAGAGGUGCAAGACCUCGGCAUACUGCUCAGUAACACGUGGACAACCUACCCUAUGGAGGGGGAUAACCCCGGGAAACUGGGGAUAAUACCCCAUAGACUAUAGAUGCUGGAAUGCUUUGUAGUUGAAAGGUCAGCCGCCAUAGGAUGGGUCUGCGGCCGAUUAGGUUGUUGUUGGGGUAACGGCCCAACAAGCCUGUAAUCGGUACGGGUUGUGGGAGCAAGAGCCCGGAGAUGGAUUCUGAGACACGAAUCCAGGCCCUACGGGGCGCAGCAGGCGCGAAAACUUUACAAUGCGGGAAACCGUGAUAAGGGAACUCCGAGUGCCCGUAAAAUCGGGCUGUCCAUCUGUUUAAAUAACAGGUGAAGAAAGGGCCGGGCAAGACCGGUGCCAGCCGCCGCGGUAAUACCGGCGGCUCGAGUGGUGGCCACUAUUACUGGGCUUAAAGCGUUCGUAGCUGGUCUGUUAAGUCUCUGGGGAAAUCUACUGGCUUAACCAAUAGGCGUCUCAGGGAUACUGGCAGACUAGGGACCGGGAGAGGUGAGAGGUACUCCAGGGGUAGGAGUGAAAUCCUGUAAUCCUUGGGGGACCACCUGUGGCGAAGGCGUCUCACCAGAACGGCUCCGACAGUGAGGGACGAAAGCUGGGGGAGCAAACCGGAUUAGAUACCCGGGUAGUCCCAGCCGUAAACGAUGCGCGUUAGGUGUAUCGGUGACCACGAGUCCCCGAGGUGCCAAAAAAAAAUCGUGAAACNUGCCGCCUGGGAA
RNAcentral lists this ribosomal RNA (832 nucleotides) under uncultured archaeon. RNAcentral describes it as "bacterial SSU rRNA". It matches the Rfam family "Archaeal small subunit ribosomal RNA", at positions 1 to 834 of the family's 1478-position model. The record is from RNAcentral.